GGGGCGCGGGCAGGGGUUGGGCAGCGCGAUCCGCGACCGUUGGUCCCCCCUCCACGGCCCCUCCGGGGGAAGGUUUCAAACCGCCCGCCUCCCGCUGAGGGGAGGGCCCUGCGGGCGGCCCCUCUGCAGCUGCUGGGGGCCAGACGCAUCCACCGCCCCCUCGAGGGACCUGUAUAGUCGAAGUAUAUUUACGUAAGGAGAGGCCAGGGUAAAAGCGAGGGGCGGAGAGGAAAAAUGGUCUCUGGGCACAGCAGGGUGACGCCGGGCUGAGGUGAAGGAUGGGCAGAAGCCCCUGCAGGCUGAGGUACCUCGGCCGCGGCAUGGCCUCGCCUCCAGGCUGGAGGAAAAGCCGCGUUUCCCAGCUCCGCCGCCAAAAGUAAGCGUGCGGGGCAUUCACAAGUCUUUGAGGCAACCCAGCUCGAGAAGUGUUUCCUUUUUCCCUUAAGAGCCAAUGGCACACACCUAAAAGCCCCCAAAAAAGCCUUAACGUGGAAAAGAAGGGAGUUGAAAGCCUGUGUGUGUGCCGGCGAAGCGGUCACCCCGCACGUACAAGGGGAACUCCCGAAGGCGAUGCCCGCACAGCCCGAAAUAAAAGUGCUAAACGUCCGAGAGCCGAGGGACGCGGAAACUGAAUGGGGACCUCCUCGCCUCGGCUCUUUCAUAACAGCAGGAACGCGGCGCGGCGAUGCGGUAACGCGGCGAUUAGGCAACGUUUUGUGAGGGGAGAGAAGGAAAGGUUCGGUAAUCCGACGUGAAUAAAGCCCGAAAGAGCCAACUAAGCCAUACCUGGAUCUCAUGAAUGCGGCCGAAGCCGUCCUUCCAGAAGAACUCGUAGAGAUUGUAGAGGGUGUUGGGUCCGGGCAUUUCGUGCAGACUCUUCACCCUGCCCAGCUGCGGGGAGGGCUCCAGCAGCUCCCCCGGCCGCGCCGCUUUGUUCUCCGCGCCGCUCCGCACCUCCAGGGACUGACUGCCCGACAGCCCGGGCGCCUGGUGAAACCUGCUGACAAAAAGCGCGUGCUGGAAGUAAGUCCUCUCGGAUUCAAGAACUCGCGUGAGGAAAGACAUGUCUUAAGUUCAGGAAGGUCCACUUUUUUUUUUUUUUCUCUCUUUUUCUUUUUUUUUUUUUUCUUUUUUCUUUUUUCCCCGCAGAUACUUUUUAUUUGGUUGCUCUUUCUUCGCUGCCUGCUUUAACUUGUACAAGCAGCACUACUCCAAACUCUUACUGCAUGAGCAUCAGUUUACACAGACCAUUAUUUAACGCUCCCUCCCCUAGGGCUGGAAAAGGGGGGUGGGUCUGGGAUGAGACUUGAAUAGAACGAACCUAUUAUUUCGUAUAAUUCAAAUCAGAUAAGUUUGCCCAUUAAGCGUGCAGUCCAAGUUUACUUUUUCUCUCUUUCCCCAAUUGCUUUGGCAAAAUCUCACAUGUGGAUUAUCCCAACUUUCUCCUUCAUUAAGAAGGUGAAUUUGGGGCCUUUUUUUUUUUUUAUCUUCUCCCCCCUCCCAUAUGUUAGAGAACACAGUAUUUUCUGUGAGUAUCAUCCAAGAACAUAUAUAUGGAAACAUUUCUACAUCCACAGAAAACAGCAACUGUCUUCCACGGUAACAUUACAAACUCGCAUUCCUGUAAGUUACAAUAACCAGGGAUGUUAUUUGUAUUACAGAGUUUGUUUGUGAAAGGAUGUACCUUGUGUCAACUUUUGUACAAAAUAUCCAGUGCCUUUCAACCAUGCACAAGGUUCACCUCGGCUUUGCCUCAAUUCAGCAGUACAGGUCUAUAACCACACACGGAGAACUUGAGCUCCAACCUGUAGAUCAGCUUCUUUUGCGCAAUUUCAAAGUCCUUUGUUCUACCUUCAUACCCACUUGUAUAUGCUCAUAGAAGUAUUAGUGAUAGUCUGUAAAAACGUCAUUAGCUUCAGAAAAGGUGCACAAGAGAUCCAGCUCAGUUACAAGUGGAUCACAAGCUCUGAUAAAACCAGAAAACAGAGGAAAAUUUAAGGCAAGAUCCACAUUUCUAGAACUUACUUUACCAGCAACAUAGCCAUGACCAAGUUUAGUGAGCUUCAAACUUAUUUUCCCUAUAUUCUCCAUGUUUUUGUGCACUUAUAUUUGGGGGCACAAACCAAUUAAGACUUGUGUACAUGCUUGAUUUUAUCACUGAGAAUAAAGUCCACCUCCCAUUAAACAUCAGCCUUUGUAAGCACAGCAUUAAGUGUUCCAGGAAUAAAAAUGCACAGGAUAAAUAGCAUCUAUAAAGUACACACUUGUUUUAAGCUGAAGUAGUGUCUCUAAAAUAGGGCUUCAUUAUUUUUUUAAGAAGUCUAGAGAAAAGCAGCAUAAAAAAAUAGAAGUUUUUAAAAAUGAUAAAUAGAGGCGGUUGAGAGUUAUUUCAUGUGGUAAAGAAGACUGCAUGACAACAGCCUAUAGAUGUAUACACCUUCUGUUAAGAUGCAUAUCAGAAGAAAAAAAACAAUAGUCAUAGUUUGCAGCUACAAAUGUCUUGGAUAGAUUUUCAGAUAGCACUGCUACCUCAGAUACCUCUGGGUUCUCCCACACAUUUCAGACUGCCAAGCUACCUCACAAGGUUAUGUAAUUGCUGUCACUAACUCUGUAAGAGCAGAUUUGAUAAACAUCUGUUGGGCACAGUCUGAGUGUAUCACAUUCUAGACUACCUUUGGAGUUUCCCUUUACUGACUAUGUUUAUGCCUGUUGUAGCUAUGUUAUUUCUUUAACAUUUGCCUGAAGAUGGUUUGGGAGACACAAUUACUUAUAAAACAAAUGGUUCUGGGGAAAAAAAAAUCAG
This 2803-nucleotide long non-coding RNA is filed under the name Gallus gallus (chicken). The record is from RNAcentral. Lineage: Eukaryota; Metazoa; Chordata; Aves; Galliformes; Phasianidae.